AGUGAACGCUGGCGGUAGGCCUAACACAUGCAAGUCGAACGGCAGCACAGUAAGAGCUUGCUCUUACGGGUGGCGGGUGGCGGACGGGUGAGGAAUACAUCGGAAUCUACUUUUUCGUGGGGGAUAACGUAGGGAAACUUACGCUAAUACCGCAUACGACCUACGGGUGAAAGCAGGGGAUCUUCGGACCUUGCGCGAUUGAAUGAGCCGAUGUCGGAUUAGCUAGUUGGCGGGGUAAAGGCCCACCAAGGCGACGAUCCGUAGCUGGUCUGAGAGGAUGAUCAGCCACACUGGAACUGAGACACGGUCCAGACUCCUACGGGAGGCAGCAGUGGGGAAUAUUGGACAGUGGGCGCAAGCCUGAUCCAGCCAUACCGCGUGGGUGAAGAAGGCCUUCGGGUUGCAAAGCCCUUUUGUUGGGAAAGAAAAGCAGCAGGUUAAUACCCCGCUGUUCUGACGGUACCCAAAGAAUAAGCACCGGCUAACUUCGUG
This 492-nucleotide ribosomal RNA is filed under the name uncultured bacterium. RNAcentral describes it as "partial 16S ribosomal RNA". It matches the Rfam family "Bacterial small subunit ribosomal RNA", at positions 29 to 507 of the family's 1533-position model. The record is from RNAcentral.